Long non-coding RNA from Thunnus maccoyii (southern bluefin tuna), 426 nucleotides. RefSeq lists it as uncharacterized. NCBI's taxonomy places the organism in Eukaryota, Metazoa, Chordata, Actinopteri, Scombriformes, Scombridae. The record is from RefSeq and is a predicted model, not a curated record. The transcript has 3 exons.
CCACACAGCGACAGCCAGCCUGGAGAACAUAGGCGUACAUCUCCACUCUAGACUGAGACAACAGCUGGUCUCCUGUCAGAAAGCGGGCAAGGUCGUGUAGAUCCAGGACUUCUUUUUGAUUGCUGUAGGAGAUCAUUAUCAGAGAAAGUCUGCUGUAACCACGUGAAGCUGCAGUCAAGGCUGAACUACACAGAUGAUGAUCAGUUCAGAUUUAUUCUCAACAUCUCACACAAAUGGCCUAUUUGAUUUGUUUUCUUUUACAUAAUCAGUUGAAUAUAUAGUCAUGUAUUUGUAUCAUUUAUAAAUUGAAAAUAUAUGAAUGUAUUAAGGAUAUUGAUCACGGGUGCGCUGCCUCCGGGCCAAACUGUCUUCAUCACUAAUACCAGCCAUGAGGUAUUUCAGCCCAGUGAUCCACGUGCGGGUCUC